UACGUAGGUGGCGAGCGUUGUCCAGAUUUACUGGGCGUAAAGGGCGUGCAGGCGGUUUGUUAAGUGCAGGGUGAAAGCCCUCGGCUCAACCGAGGAAGUGCGCCCGAAACUGCAGAGCUUGAGUACCGGAGAGGAUGGCGGAAUUCCCCAAGUAGAGGUGAAAUUCGUAGAUAUGGGGAGGAACACCGGUGGCGAAGGCGGCCAUCUGGACGGAUACUGACGCUGAGACGCGAAAGCGUGGGGAGCAAACAGG
RNAcentral lists this ribosomal RNA (253 nucleotides) under uncultured bacterium. Its description in RNAcentral is "partial 16S ribosomal RNA". It matches the Rfam family "Bacterial small subunit ribosomal RNA", at positions 524 to 776 of the family's 1533-position model. The record is from RNAcentral.